AUGCCACUAAAGUUUUGGGAUGAGGCGUUCCUCACUGUCGUUCACAUCAUCAAUAUGCUUCCAAGCCGUGUCAUCAAUAAUGAAACACCUACAGAAAAACUUCUCCAUACCAAACCAGACUACACUUUCCUUCAUGUGUUUGGCUGCACUUGUUGGCCUAAUCUUAGACCCUAUAACAAACGCAAACUAAUGUUUCGAUCUAAGCAGUGUGUUUUCAUUGGCUACAGUGCCAUGCACAAAGGUGUCAAAUGCCUAGAUGUCUCUACUGGCCGUGUCUACAUUUCCCGUGAUGUAGUCUUUGAUCAAACAAAGUUUCCCUUUGCCGAUCUCCACCCCAACGCCGGCGCCUUACUUCGUCAAGAAAUUCUGCUCUUGCCUUCUCAUGUCACCAAUUUUGAUCAAAGGGGGAAUAAUAAUUGUGUUGAUCCAUCAUUGACUAAUCCUCAUAACCAUGUGCAUGAGCUCUGUGUUGGUGCAGCCGAAGGAAGCAUGAGCAAAAAUAGUGAAGAAAUCAGCCAAAAUGAUCAAGAAAUCAGUUCAAAUGGGCAAUAUUUGAUGUGUCCAGAUUUGGGCAGCAAAUCUGCCUCGGGAUCGCUGCUGCAGCACCUGCCCAGGCCAUCUGCCUCGGGAUCUGCACCACUGCAUGGCGCCAGCGUGUCAGAAACCGCGUCGCCCACCAGGAGAAGCGGCGCCGUCUCCCCAGGCGCCACGUAG
RNAcentral lists this ribosomal RNA (714 nucleotides) under Triticum aestivum (bread wheat). RNAcentral describes it as "partial small subunit ribosomal RNA". Lineage: Eukaryota; Viridiplantae; Streptophyta; Magnoliopsida; Poales; Poaceae. The record is from RNAcentral.